UAUAGCUCAGUUGAUAGAGUGCGUGCCUCAAAUAAUGCACAAGGCCCUGGGUUCAAUCCCCAGUA
Molecule: transfer RNA, 65 nt
Filed under: Ictidomys tridecemlineatus (thirteen-lined ground squirrel)
Lineage: Eukaryota; Metazoa; Chordata; Mammalia; Rodentia; Sciuridae
Description: Spermophilus tridecemlineatus (thirteen-lined ground squirrel) tRNA
Rfam family: tRNA
About the family: Transfer RNA (tRNA) molecules are approximately 80 nucleotides in length. Their secondary structure includes four short double-helical elements and three loops (D, anti-codon, and T loops).
Source: Rfam by way of RNAcentral